ACGCUCGACACCUACGGGGGCAGCAGUGGGGAAUAUUGCACAAUGGGGGAAACCCUGAUGCAGCAACGCCGCGUGAAGGAAGACGGUUUUCGGAUUGUAAACUUCUGUUCUUAGUGAAGAUAGUGACGGUAGCUAAGGAGCAAGCCACGGCUAACUACGUGCCAACAGCCGCGGUAAUACUGAGCGGGCGUGGCAAGGAC
Molecule: ribosomal RNA, 200 nt
Filed under: uncultured bacterium
Lineage: Bacteria
Description: partial 16S ribosomal RNA
Rfam family: Bacterial small subunit ribosomal RNA
Source: RNAcentral